GCCGGGCGUUGUGGCGGGCGCCUGUGGUCUCAGCUACUUGGGAGGCGGAGACAGGAGACUCGCUUGAGCCCAGGAGUUGGAGGUUGCUGUGAGCUGUAAUGCCACGGCACUCUACCCAGGGGGACAGCUUGAGGCUCUGUCUCAAAAAAAAAAAAAAGAGAUAGAGUCUCACUUUAUCACCCUCAGUAGAGUUCCGUGGCAUAACAGCUCACAGCAACCUCCAACUCCUGGGCUUAGGCAAUUCUCUUG
RNAcentral lists this small RNA (249 nucleotides) under Otolemur garnettii (small-eared galago). RNAcentral's name for it is "Metazoan signal recognition particle RNA (ENSOGAG00000026936.1)". The record is from RNAcentral. Lineage: Eukaryota; Metazoa; Chordata; Mammalia; Primates; Galagidae.